RNAcentral lists this ribosomal RNA (522 nucleotides) under uncultured archaeon. RNAcentral describes it as "bacterial SSU rRNA". It matches the Rfam family "Archaeal small subunit ribosomal RNA", at positions 325 to 849 of the family's 1478-position model. The record is from RNAcentral.
ACGGGGUGCAGCAGGCGCGAAAUCUUCACAAUGUGCGAAAGCACGAUGAGGGAAUCCCAAGUGCUGGCACGUAAGUGUCAGCUGUUUCUUUGUCUAAAAAACAAAGAGAGUAAGAGCUGGGUAAGACGGGUGCCAGCCGCCGCGGUAAUACCUGCAGCUCAAGUGGUGGCCGCUAUUAUUGGGCCUAAAACGUCCGUAGCCGGUUUAGUAAAUGCUUGGGUAAAUUGUGUAGCUUAACUAUACGAAUACCGGGUAGACUGCUAAACUUGGGACCGGGAGAGGCUAGAGGUACUCCUAGGGUAGAGGUGAAAUUCUGUAAUCCUAGGGGGACCACCAGUGGCGAAGGCGUCUAGCUAGAACGGGUCUGACGGUGAGGGACGAAGCCCUGGGGCGCAAACCGGAUUAGAUACCCGGGUAGUCCAGGGUGUAAACGCUGCUUGCUUGAUGUUAGUUGGGCUCCGAGCCCAACUAGUGUCGGAGAGAAGUUGUUAAGCAAGCUGCCUGGGAAGUACGUCGCAAGAC